AGAGUUUGAUCAUGGCUCAGAUUGAACGCUGGCGGUAUGCCUAACACAUGCAAGUCGAACGAGGUAGCAAUACCUAGUGGCGGACGGGUGAGGAAUACGUAGGGAUCUGCCCUUAAGUGGGGGAUAACCCGGGGAAACCCGGAUUAAUACCGCAUGAUCUCGCAAGAGCAAAGAGGGGGACCGCAAGGCCUCUCGCUUUUGGAGGAACCUACGUCGGAUUAGCUAGUUGGUGAGGUAAUGGCUCACCAAGGCGACGAUCCGUAACUGGUCUGAGAGGAUGAUCAGUCACACUGGGACUGAGACACGGCCCAGACUCCUACGGGAGGCAGCAGUGGGGAAUAUUGGACAAUGGGGGCAACCCUGAUCCAGCCAUGCCGCGUGAGUGAUGAAGGCCCUCGGGUUGUAAAGCUCUUUUGGCGGGGACGAUGAUGACGGUACCCGCAGAAUAAGCCCCGGCUAACUUCGUGCCAGCAGCCGCGGUAAGACGAAGGGGGCUAGCGUUGUUCGGAAUUACUGGGCGUAAAGCGAGUGUAGGUGGUUGUUCAAGUUGGAUGUGAAAGCCUUGAGCUCAACUCAAGAAAUGCAUUCAGGACUGAGCGACUAGAGGACCGGAGAGGAUAGUGGAAUUCCCAGUGUAGUGGUGAAAUACGUAGAGAUUGGGAAGAACACCAGUGGCGAAGGCGGCUAUCUGGACGGUUUCUGACACUAAGACUCGAAAGCGUGGGGAGCAAACAGGAUUAGAUACCCCGGUAGUCC
Molecule: ribosomal RNA, 756 nt
Filed under: uncultured bacterium
Lineage: Bacteria
Description: bacterial SSU rRNA
Rfam family: Bacterial small subunit ribosomal RNA
Source: RNAcentral